UACGAAGGGGGCUAGCGUUGUUCGGAUUUACUGGGCGUAAAGCGCACGUAGGCGGAUCGUUAAGUCGGGGGUGAAAUCCUGGAGCUCAACUCCAGAAUUGCCUUCGAUACUGGCGAUCUUGAGUCCGGAAGAGGUGAGUGGAACUCCUAGUGUAGAGGUGGAAUUCGUAGAUAUUAGGAAGAACACCAGUGGCGAAGGCGGCUCACUGGUCCGGUACUGACGCUGAGGUGCGAAAGCGUGGGGAGCAAACAGG
This 253-nucleotide ribosomal RNA is filed under the name uncultured bacterium. RNAcentral's name for it is "partial 16S ribosomal RNA". It matches the Rfam family "Bacterial small subunit ribosomal RNA", at positions 524 to 776 of the family's 1533-position model. The record is from RNAcentral.